This 131-nucleotide microRNA precursor is filed under the name Picea abies (Norway spruce). RNAcentral describes it as "miR394b stem-loop (pab-MIR394b)". Its record names the gene pab-MIR394b. The record is from miRBase by way of RNAcentral. Lineage: Eukaryota; Viridiplantae; Streptophyta; Pinopsida; Pinales; Pinaceae.
GCCAUAAAACUUCUUCCAGAGAGUGCUGGCAUUCUGUCCACCUCCAUAUACAUUCUCUGCCACAAUCACCAUCUGCAGAUUAUAUGGAGGCGGGCGAUAUGCCAAGCAAGCUCUGCCAGGCGUUUUCCGGC